GACGAACGCUGGCGGCGUGCUUAACACAUGCAAGUCGAACGAAGAGCGAUGGAGGCUUGCUUCUAUCAAUCUUAGUGGCGAACGGGUGUGUAACGCGUAAUCAACCUGCCCUUCAGAGGGGGACAACAGUUGGAAACGACUGCUAAUACCGCAUACGAUCUAAUCGCGGCAUCGAGGAUAGAUGCAAGGUGGCCUCUACAUGUAAGCUAUCACUGAAGGAGGGGAUUGGGUCUGAUUAGCUAGUGGGAGGGGUAGGGGCCAACCAAGGCGAUGAUCAGUAGCCGGCUGGAGGGGAGAACCGGCCCAAUGGGACCGGGGACACGCCCAAGCCCCUUCGGGAAGGAAGAAGUGGGGAACUUUCGCAAUGGACGAAAGGCUGACGGAGCAACGCCGCGUGAGCGAUGACAGCCUUCGGGUUGGAAAGCCCUGUUAAUCGGGACGAAAGGCCUUCUUGCGAAUAGUGAGAAGGAUUGACGGUACCGGAAUAGAAAGCCACGGCUAACUACGUG
Molecule: ribosomal RNA, 509 nt
Filed under: uncultured bacterium
Lineage: Bacteria
Description: partial 16S ribosomal RNA
Rfam family: Bacterial small subunit ribosomal RNA
Source: RNAcentral